AUUGAACGCUGGCGGCAGGCCUAACACAUGCAAGUCGAGCGGAUGAAGCGAGCUUGCUCCUGGAUUCAGCGGCGGACGGGUGAGUAAUGCCUAGGAAUCUGCCUGGUAGUGCGGGAUAACGUCCUGAAACGGGCGCUAAUACCGCAUACGUCCUGAGGGAGAAAGUGGGGGAUCUUCGGACCUCUCGCUAUCAUAUGAGCCUAGGUCGGAAUAGCUAGUUGGUGGGGUAAAGGCCUACCAAGGCGACGAUCCGUAACUGGUCCGAGGGGGAGAUCAGUCAGCUGGUAACGGAGACGAGGUCCGUACUCCUAGGGGAGGAGGAGGUCGUGAAUAUUAGGCGAUGGAGCAGAGGGGUAUCGAGGCAUGCCGCGUGUGUGAAGAAGAUGCUGGGAUUGUAAAGCAAAUAAAGCUGGGAGGAAGGGAAGUAAGUUAAUACAUUGCGAUUUUGACGUUACCAACAGAAUAAGCAACGGCUAACUCCGUG
This 484-nucleotide ribosomal RNA is filed under the name uncultured bacterium. Its description in RNAcentral is "partial 16S ribosomal RNA". It matches the Rfam family "Bacterial small subunit ribosomal RNA", at positions 30 to 507 of the family's 1533-position model. The record is from RNAcentral.